CAAACCCACCACAAAUAUAGAUAACUCUAUGUCUAUAUGGACAGAGUCUCUCCUUCAUUUGCACGGCGUUGCACAUCAUACAAGUUACAACCACAUCCAUUCACAACAGACAAUCACAAGUACCUUCAUACAUUCACAUCUAUCAGUUGAAAACGUUUCCCACCCGAAAACUUAUCUUGAAAUACUAAAAUCACGAAAAGCUGUAAAAUCUUUUUGAAAAAUUAUUUUUCAUAUGAAAACCUUUUAUCUUUUAAAGCGAGCUACCACGU
This 269-nucleotide long non-coding RNA is filed under the name Ananas comosus (pineapple). RNAcentral's name for it is "long non-coding RNA (ACOM_LNC042510)". The record is from RNAcentral. Lineage: Eukaryota; Viridiplantae; Streptophyta; Magnoliopsida; Poales; Bromeliaceae.